This 240-nucleotide long non-coding RNA is filed under the name Setaria italica (foxtail millet). Its description in RNAcentral is "long non-coding RNA (SITA_LNC004965)". Lineage: Eukaryota; Viridiplantae; Streptophyta; Magnoliopsida; Poales; Poaceae. The record is from RNAcentral.
UGACCGAAGUCCCUAAUCCCGCUGACUCAGCUUUCCGGAGCUUAAGCGCUCAAGGUCCCGUUUCUGAGUCCUGACCCCUAAAAACCCAACCCAAAACUGCUAGUUCUUUCUAAGUCCCAAGGCAGUGUUCCUUCCAAUCUUGAAGCAGUGGAGAAACCGAGACCGACUGGUGGACCUGCAAUCUUUUCCCCGGUUCUCUCGAGAUAGACGCACCUGAGCAGCAUGCGCCCGCUUCAGAAC